This 398-nucleotide ribosomal RNA is filed under the name uncultured bacterium. RNAcentral describes it as "partial 16S ribosomal RNA". It matches the Rfam family "Bacterial small subunit ribosomal RNA", at positions 523 to 918 of the family's 1533-position model. The record is from RNAcentral.
CUACGUAGGGUGCGAGCGUUGUCCGGAAUUACUGGGCGUAAAGAGCUCGUAGGUGGUUUGUCGCGUCGUCUGUGAAAUUCCGGGGCUUAACUCCGGGCGUGCAGGCGAUACGGGCAUAACUUGAGUACUGUAGGGGAGACUGGAAUUCCUGGUGUAGCGGUGAAAUGCGCAGAUAUCAGGAGGAACACCGGUGGCGAAGGGGGGUCUCUGGGCAGUAACUGACGCUGAGGAGCGAAAGCAUGGGUAGCUAACAGGAUUAGAUAUCCUGGUAGUCCAUGCCGUAAACGGUGGGCGCUAGGUGUAGGGGUCUUCCACGACUUCUGUGCCGUAGCUAACGCAUUAAGCGCCCCGCCUGGGGAGUACGGCCGCAAGGCUAAAACUCAAAUGAAUUGACGGGG